UUCCGAGACUUUUCAUGCCUUCUGGUGCUUGAUCAUAGAAGAACUCUAACUUGGCAAUUUCCACGAAGGUAUUAGCAAUCCCUCCCAGGGCAAACUGAGGGAGGAGAAUAAAAAUAGUAAGGGGAAUUGUAUCAUGCCGGCCAAAGAGGUUGUUUUCUCUUGCAACACGGAGUCUCUUCCUCUCAGCCAAGCAUGCAGUGACCAUUAUAGCGAUGUUCAACACUAGGCCAAUUCCUAGUCUCUGCAACAGUGUGAUUCCUCUGGGGUUCUUUGUGUAUCGCCGGAUUAUUGGAACAAAAGCAAGGUCAUAGACUACAAUGCUUAUAAGCAUGAAGAUAGUUUUAAAUGUUGUUAAACAGGCUGGAGGGAUAUCAAAAUGUGGUCCCAUUCUUCUGUCUAGCGUGGUGCCUUGUUUAAUGAAGAGUGUAGUUGAUUGAACUAUCAAUGUGCUUGGGAUAAGUGUUGUAAUCAACUACACUCUUCAUUAAACAAGGCACCACGCUAGACAGAAGAAUGGGACCAGUGUUGUAAUCAAAAUCGGAAUCAUUUUUGUCAUUUGUUUGGUUUCCUCAACUUGUGUCACUGUACAAAGCAUCCAUGGUGAAGUUUGGCCUGUCUUUGUAGCCGCUUUGUCAAGGAAACUACAAGCAUAUAAGAAGUGAUGCAUUUAUGACAUGAAAGAAGAUGGUGAAAUUGAAAUGAUAAAACACAAUUAGAUCUAACCUCAACGAAGAGCUGCGAUCAAUUCUAUUUCUUACGUUGCAUGCAUAUUUUUCUAUGCUUAACUCAUGUAGCUCUUUUGGAUCUUCUGGGACCCGUGUCAUCCACUUUCUCAUAGCUGCCACAAAGACUUGGAGCAUUCUAGUUAUAGGGCUGCCUGAGGGCAAUUUAUGCCUAUACAAUGGAGUUCCUACCAAAAACACUAAUACUGAAACCGCAAGUCCAGCCGUAGGAAGGCCAUAUCCUACGGCCCAACCCACUCUGUCUUGUAUGUAGAUUACGAAAGUGUUGGAGAAUAGGGUACCUAGGAAAAUACUGAAAUACCACCAAUUGAAGAAGGAAAGUUUAUAGGUCCUCUCUUUGGGCUCGAACUCGUCAAAUUGGUCUGCUCCCAUCGUAGAAAUGUUAGGCUUUGUUCCUCCUGUUCCUACAGCAAUGAUGUACAGGGCUAGGAAGAAAAUACCCCUUUGCAAUGGUGAUGCCCUGGGGCAAUUUUGGUCUGCAACUCCUUGUGCACAUUCUGGUGGCCUCAAAGAUGUUACUGAGACAGCUAGAGUCAACAAACACAUUCCCUGUGGCCAAACAAAAGAAUGGUAAGUCUGUUUUUAAUCAUAUAAAUAACACACUAAAUGACACUCUUUUGAAGCCUGAAUGCAUCGAGCAAUAACAUCUAGAAAAACAAUAAUGCAUGUGAAAUCCAAGUGUGAACAAUAAAAUCUAAUCGUAGUAAAAAAUGAACUAAAUGAGGAUAUCAUAGGAAAACAUUGUACUAGAAUAAAUAGUUGAAAGAUUUUGGGUCAGGAAAAAUUGUCAAGUAUGUUGUUUUGGUCCAUCAUGCAAAUUUCGUCAUAGGGGAAACUUUCUAAUGUUGGGAUGCACAUCUUUGUAAAACCUUUCCUUUGAUGAGACCAAUCUAUUUCCCAAGUUUAAGGCUUGAGUAUGACCUGUUUAUCUUUUUUUGGGUAAACAUUUUGGAAGUCCAUGACUAGCUUUUAAGAUUAUAAUCUUGUAGUCCUUGUCUUUAAAAAUCACAAUGCAUUCAUACUUUUAUAGUGGUUACACAGUGUGCCAAAUUGCAUCACAACAUAUUGGGGUAUGUUUAUCAUGGUAACAGGUUAUCACAUUACGUCAAACCUUGAAAGUUCUCUUGUGAAUUGUUCUUCAUUCAUCUUUCUUUAGUAGAUUCAGAAGUUCUCAUGCGAAGGGCGGUGAUAUUUUAAGAUAAUAGUGAGUUGGAAAUAAAGAAUUUGUGGGAUGUGGGAGGGGUGAGCAAUAGUGUGGUUAUUUGAAGGUGAAUCGGCGAGAUACUCAAUGUAUAAACAGCAUAAGUUCAUGCCACAACUCCACAUCCACAAUACACAUCACAACAAUCACAAUGUUCACAAUUGCAGUCGCAGUGGCUGCAACCACAGUCACAUCUGUAAUUGCAGCUUCUAUUUGAAACAAAAGGCCUAGCUUAUUUAGGCAAAUUAAAUAGGCUUAAACUAGGUUAGAAAAGUCUUAAUUCAAGUCAAGUCAUACAGUCCCAAGUGAUUGCAUGACCAUGAACUGUAUUCCUUUCCUUGUGUGAGAGAAUGUUAGAAAAUCUAAAUGUAAGUGAGUCUAUAUGGUUUGGAUUCAGCUAGGAUAUACUCAUUGUCAAGUUUUGGGUUAUGAUAUGUGUCAAAUUUACGACUGUGAAUUUCUGUUAUAGUUGCUUGUCUUAAUAUUACAUAUGGUCUUUGUUUAUGGACUCCCCCAUCCCAUCCCAAUCAUAAUGUUCAUCCAAUAAAUUUUACCUGCUACUAAGUAGCAUAUACUCAAAUGAUGAAAAUAAAUAUCAUUACAUACCAAGAGAUAAAUGCAUGAUGCAAUUACGAAGGUCCAAUAGCGGCCAAAAUAAGCAUCGGCUAUGUAAGCUCCUACAAGUGGCAUCAUCCACACCGAACCCGCCCAGUUGCUAACGUUGUUUGCAGAUUCCACAGUUCCCUCAUGGAGCUUAUUUGUUAGAUAGAUCACUAAGUUUGAUGCUAUCCCGUAGUAAGCCAUCCUCUCAAACACUUCAUACCCUAUAAAUUACACAAAAAUGCAUAAUAAUAAUUCAUUUGUUGCUAUAUAUGAAAACAAUAAAUUGGAAAAAUGAGAACAAUAUUAGGGUAUCUAAAAAAAGAUGAAACUAUGUAUGUUUAGAUUGACGAUGAGUUUAUCAAAACCACACUGACACUAUAAUUUUGUCAAAAUUCUAAAGUAUAUGUCAUUCGCCAAAAUUGUAGAGGCACAAUGUGAUUCCAUCGAUCCCAUAGUGUAUAUAGUAUAUACAAAUAUGCACGAAGCCAAAAAACGCUUCACUUUACCUACUAUGAAGGAGCAAGCUUUCCAUCGUCCAGUUUUUGAUCUUAAAACAGGUCUACCUUUUAGGUCUACUGUACCAUCUUGAGUGUAAUCUUCUUUCCCACUUGCAUGGCCUUUUUCUUCAACCCCUUCCAUGAUGCUGGAAAGAAGAACUACUUCUGUUGUUAAGCUUUUAUGUUGGAAUCAUGCAAGGUUGCUAGCUUUUCCUUAUGAGCUUUUUGGUCUAUUUAAGGACGGGCUAUUAGAUUUUAGAAGUUUGUCUUUUACUACCUACCUACAGUUAUGUGUUGUCCAUUUUGCAUGACCUAACUAAUAGAAAACAAAUAAGGAAUCCGUCACAUCUGUUUGGCUCUUCUUUCUUUUUGACUUCGCUUGUUGUUUACCUUUUUUUUAUCAAGCAGUCUAUCGACUAGAAAGAUUCAUUGGAGGUGAAUAAGUGAAGUGUCCGGAGUUCGAACUCUGACCUUCAUAUAAAAUAUAUAUUAUCUCUUAUCAAGUGAGUUAAGCUCACGGAGACGUUUGAUGUUUACCUAUAACUCAUCUUGAAGAUGACAUGAUAUUGAUUUUGACAUGUCACAAAAUAUUGUGCGCUAUGUACCCUUUUUCAUUGACAUUUGUAAUACUACUAUAGGACCCAAUGUUCAUGUCUGAGUCCUAUGUUCAUUCUUAAAUUCAGUACAUUGGCCCUUCUUAUUCUAACUUUACUUUGAAUUCAGUGUCUGCCGUUUCCAUGUGUACAAAUGGCCUCAAACAAAGAGAUAUUUCUUGUAUUAAAUGUGCAAAACUUAGUUACCCCAGUUGUUAGAUUAAUUAUGAUUUAGUUGGUCCAAUUGACUUUUUUUAAGGGUGGUCCAGUUGAUUAUAGUAAGUCUUGGUGUAACAAUUUUCACAUAAUCAUAUUAUUUUGGCUAAAAUGCAUUGUUGGCUCCUCAAAUUUUCAAAAGUUACAAUUUUGAUCCUUCUAUUUUGAAAAUAGUAUUUUUGGCCCCCAAGUUUUAGGCCCAUUGCAAAACCAUUGCCUCCCUUGAUUUUAACUCGGUCAAAGCUGACUUGACGCAUUUUUAUUACUCCCUCCGUCCCUAAUUAUAAGACCCUUUUGAGAAUUUUUUUUGUCCCUUUUUAUAAGACUCUUUUGUUAUUUUCAACUACAUUAAUUAUUUCUUUACAUACAUGCCCCUAUUUAUUAUACAUCUUUUUCUUCAAUCAACAAUAAAUAACAUGUUGAAAACAUAAACUAACAUUCUUUCUUAAAGGAUAAAAUUGUAAAAACAAUAGUGAUUACAAACAACUUUAAUACAAAUAUUCACUAUCUUAAUUCCCGUGAUUUUGACAAAAUGGUCUUAUAUAUAAGGACGGAGGGAGUAUUAUUUUGUGCCAUAUGAACAGCCUACAUGAAUUUUUAGAACAAAAAAAAUAAAAAUAAAAACCCUCACGUGACCGUUGUACAACCGUUGUAUUCUUCUUCCCCAUAACUCACCCGUUCUCUUUUUUCUCCAUAACCAUUCCUCUUCUUCUCCAUAACCAUUUUUCUUCUUCACACCAAAAUCUUCAUUCAUCCUCCUUCUUCACUCCAUUUUUACUCGAUUCAAACCCAUAAAAACUCAAUUUUUACGGAUUCUCUUCCAUUCAAACCCUUUUCACUCGAUUCAAACCCUUUUCCGUACUAUUUUGUUAUGGAUGGCUUGACCUAGUGAUUCUUCAGCUUCAUCUUCUCCUGGAAAACGAAAAGGUAAUGUUCUAUGUUAUUGUGGAGUUGAUUCUCCGUCGUUAACUUUAUGGACAGAUGAUAAUCAUGGGAGAAGAUUUUUUAGGUCUGGAAAAUACAAUGGGUAUUUAAGAAAAUGUAAAAAUUUUAAUUUUAAUAAUAAGUGCUGGUAAAAUUUUAAUUUUAAUAAUAUCCACCGUGGCAAAAAAAAAAAAAAAAGCGACAUGUCAUCUUUGACCGAGUCAAAAUCAAGGAGAUCAUGGUUUUGUAAAGGGGUUAAAAUUUGGGAGGCCAAAAGUGCUAUUUCUAAAACAGGGGGAUCAAAAUCGCAACUUUGAAAACUUGGGGGCCAAAAGUGUAUUUUAGCCUAUUAUUUUCAUUUCACUUUUAUAUUUAUUUUUCUCAAUUAUAAAAUUGUAAUAUGAUAUCAGAGUCUAUUCUUUCCGGUCAUCCAUCAUAUAUAUACACGUACCAGACCAAUAGUGUUGGACAUGAGGAAGUGCAUUGGAAAAAACAAAAUCCCACAUUGAUUAAAAAAAGAUAGAGCUUGAUUAAAAUUUAUGAAAGCUCUUAAAAAAAAAAAUAUGAAAGCUUAGCAUUAUUAUUGGUAAUUUAAUAAGUUAUUAUUGAAAAAUGAAACUUUUUAUUUUACUUGUGUUGAUUACACAAUUUUCAAUGCAAUAACUAUUAAUCCCUCCGUCCCAAAUUGUAUGUCAUUUUUAAAAAAAUAUUUGUCCCAAAUUGUAUGUCACUUUACAAUACCAAUGAAACAUUAAUGUUACUUUUCCUAUUAUAUCCUUAACUAUUUAUUACUCUUUCUUCUUUUAAUUCUUUCAUUUAUCUUUCUUAUAUCAUUUAUUAAGGAUAAUUUUGUAAAACAACUCAUAAUAUCUCUUUCCCACACAAUAUUAAUUACAUUUCUUAAUAUGUGUGAAAUGCCCAAAACGUCACACAGUAACUAUUUAUUACUCUUUCUUCUUUCAAUUCUUUCAUUUAUAACUUUCUUUUUAUAUAAAAAAAAAAAAAAAAAAAAACUACUAUAUAAUUUAUUUUUUAGUAUCCUUAACGAGUACUGCAAGCACCGGUCAUCAUUUCCCCAUAUAUAUAUAUAUAUAUAGACACACCUAUGAUCCUCCAAAAAAACAUAUAUAAUCCAUGUUAUUUCUCUAAAAAGGCCUUGUGGUUAUGUCACGGAUUAUGAUAUUGUCAAGCAGAAGGAAAAUAACUUGAGGAAAUAAUAUAGAAAUCUAGACCAUUGAAAUAUAAAGGAAAAAAUAAACAUUGGAAUUUACUGAAAAAAGGGAGAAAAGUGAUUUUAAGGGUUGAGAUGUGAAAAAUAAGAAAAUAUGAGAGAAAAAAAUUGAGAAAAUCUAUUUUUUUAUAUCACACUUGUUGAACAGAAGUGAGUUUUAGAAUAAUAUCUCUAAGGUUUUGAUAAUAACAAUGUAUGAAUGAACAAUUUGAUACUCUAAUGUGCGUGUUUAAGUAUGCAUGACCAUAUAAUUAAAUUCUGACAUCAAUAUCAAGUUUUUGGUUCUGAUACAUCAAGUUCUGAGCACAAGAAAAGCAUUAUGGUACUAAAAAAAACAUUGAAAACUUCUAAAGACUUGGAAGAUAAUUUGAAGAAUGGUCAACAUAAAGUUAAAAUUCUGAUUAAAAGAUAUCUCGAAGACUCUGAUGAGAACAAACUCUAAUGGAUUCAACCUCUGGAGGAAUCAAGCCACCAAGCUCUGAUGACGUCAGCGUUCCGAGUGACUCUGAUUAGUUUUGUCUUCUUCUUAUGGAAGGUCGCUUUCAACUUCUGAUAGUACAAUUUGUUUUCUUUUGACCACGUGUAGAAAGAAAAAAAAAAUCAAAGGCAAACAAAUCAUUCAAUAAGAAACAAAAGAUUUAUCAAAGUGUUGUUCACUGACAAGUAAAAUCUGAUCAAAAACUUAUGCAUGAAUGCAUGUAUGCAUGGUUGUUUUGUUUAGUUACAAAGAACAAGGUGGGUUGAGAUUCAAAGUAACAGGGCCACGGAUGGACACGGCGUCCGGUGAACUAAGGCUUUGGAUAGUAGUAACCAAGGUUCUAACACAGUUCCCAAACUGCAACCUCUCUCACAUAUAUCAUGGUAGUACAGGACGACACCCGUUCCAUGAUUAUUUGUGAGAAGGUCUAGUUUGAGUGUAGUAUCGCGUGACGACUAAAGUUUGAGACAACACUCAAUUUAGCCACCGCACUACGUCCUAAAAAGGCUAGGAUGGGUUUGGUAACUACGGUUCAUAGCUUCGUCGAACAAUUGAAAGUGAAGUGCCUAAGCAUGACAACACACGCCGACAAUAUCACCUUCAAAAUGCCUCAGCUAUGUGAGAUUGAUCGCAUAAUCCAAUACACGAGGCAACCCCCGGAUCGAAUUGUCGAUUAUAUCUCUACCUAAACAUAAGUUCACUCAGCCCGGGUAUAGGACUUUUGAUAUUCUCACCCCACACGUCAAAUGAAAAUAAACAAGUAUUCACAUAUGUAAGCAAUAAAACAAAGCGUAAAUAUAAACUAAGGAAAACUAGGCGCGACCCGCUAAAAAGAAUCCCCAGUGAAGUCACCAUUUCUGUUAUCAUGGUUUUGGGGUGCCAAGCCAUUAAUUGGACUUGAACCUUUUGACCGUUGAUAUCUCUCUUUUUUCUUGGGAAGGGUAAAAGGAGAAAAACCCUUAAAAAGUUCUAGAUUCGGGGGUCGUUUUCACUACGGGAAGGUGUUAGGCACCCAGAGCGAUUAUGGUAUUCCAUAAGAACCGUUCUCCUAAGUUUAUUUCUACGCUUUAGUUUUAUUGCUUAUUUGUAAAAAAGAAGGUAUGAUUAGUGAAGAAUGGGGGUGAGAAGAAGUAGAAUUUUGAUUUUUAUUUCGGCUUGGAGGGGUUAAAGUCCCUUGCCUACGUACCGUUUUACGGGAUCAAAACCGGCGUAGUUCUUGCUCAAAAAAUAGUUUUUGUUUUUGUUGGUUGAUUUUAAGUUUGAAAAGAGAUUUUGAAGAAUAGAGAUGAGAGGCCUCAAGGGCAUGAGAUUUGGAAAAAAGUGAGGUGGAGUUAGCUUUUUCAAAAUGAAGUCCAAGUAUAGUUAAAAUUUAUUAGAAAUUUUACUUAAGAAAAUAAAAGAGAAAUAAGGAGUUUUGACUCCUAUCUUAUUUUCAAAAAGGUUUUCAAGUGAGGUUAUUUGCAUGUUUUGGAAAAAGUUGGAUUUUUUUCUAAGUGUUUAAACCUAAACAUUCAUCUAAACAUGCAAUCCUAGCCAUACAUCUACACAUACAAUCCUAGGCAUACAUCUAGGGUGAGUGUGUGCGUGCCGGUGCGUCAUAGUGUCCAUAGUCCAUAUUACAAAAGUUGCCUAAAUACAUUCUAUGGCCCCUUUGCCAAGCUACAAACCAAUGAUAACAAAUUACAUCACCAAAUGAAUUAAAACUUGCAAAAAUAAAUGCUAAGCUAAAGAAAGUGGAGGAGAUAGUGAAAUGCUAUGAGUGAAGUCACAUAAGGAACAAAAUGUUAGUGAAACAAGGAAAAAUAUAAUGGGAAUGAUAAAAAAUGCACCAAAUGAAUAUGCAAUAAAAAGGGGUAAAAAUAUGAGAAUUUAUCAAUCACAAUAUGUAAAAAUGCAUCAAGAACAUAUAUGGAAUUUUAAUGAGCAAAAAUUAAAGAACAAAGUAAAGGAAAUAAAUGCAAAAAUAAGCAAAUAAAUUCUAAUACUUAGAGGAAAAAUUAAAAUGAUGGGGAAACAUUUUUAGAAAAUUUUUUAGAAGCAUAAAACACCAAGAAAGUGUAAAAAAGGUAUUUAAAACACAAUUAAAAAGCAAUUAAAAAAAACUCAGCAGGAUUUAAUCUGGACCGUUGGAUGAAUCCAGAGGUCCAGAUCAAGCUCUCAAGAUCGCAUCACAGCCACUUGAUCAAAGAUCAAAGGGUCCAGAAAAAAGCAUAAAAGAUAGUGUAAAUUGCAGGAAGCACAGUGACCGUUAGAUCAAAGAUCUAACGGUUCAAACAGAAGAUAUACCAAAUUCCACACAAAAAGUCAUGCACAGGAUUCAAAAUCAAACACACAGCAGCCAUCAGAUCUUGGAACAAUCCAGAUCUGAUGGUUCACAGAGCGAGGGAACACAACAAGAGCACGCACGCGCGCGCGUGGGAUCGGAGGGAGUAUAAAAAGGAUUUUCUACACAAAAAACUCACAAAACAUUUUCCUCUUCUCUCUCUAAGUUAAACUUAGAGAGAGAAGCUCUCCCUUCUCUCUAAAAGUCCCGCCGGCGGACAUGAGUGGUGGUGGUGGUUCCGGCGCGGCGGCCGGCCGGUUUCCGGCGGCGGCGCCACCGCGCCGGAAAAAUCAAACUUAAUUUUUUUUCAAAAUUUUUACAUCAAAAGUUCCGUCACCACCUCCUCUACUCAAAUCCGGUGCUAGUUUUAAAAAGGGGUGAGAGAUUCGUCGUAGAUCUACACUUGAACUUUCGGAAUUUUUUCACUCUUUUUGUAAAAAAGCUUACGGAUCUAGAUAUCCUUUUCGCUCUAGAGUCCGAAUCCGGCCUCAAAAUUUCAAAAAUCCGAACGUACAAGCUUAGAUCUACAAAUCUUGAUUCGUAACAAACUUUUCACAUGUGUAUAUGCGCGAAAACGAGGGAAAAAAGUGUUACCGUCGUCGUGAAACGGAGGAAAAAUCCGAGCCUCCUCUUCUCUCCGCCGCGCGCGCGCGUUAUGCUCCGGUGGUGCCGCUUUUGCUCGAAAAUCCGGUACGGAUUUGGUGUUGGUGUGAUGAUUCGCGGUGGUUUUGAAUGAUUCCGGUUCGGAUUUGUUGAUUUUGUGAUGAUUUGAGUUGGUUUUGAGUGAAUCCGGUUCGGAUUUGUUGAUUUUGUGAAGAUUUGUUCUUGGUGUUCUUGGAGAAUUUUUGGUGAUUUUCUGUUUUGGAUCUAACUGAUUUUGGAGAGAGAAAGAAAUUUCUGUUUUUGUGAUGUGACUGAUUCUUUUUUUUUUUAUUUGGAUCUGACACAUCUAUUUAUAGCCUGCCAUGUGUAUUUGUGGGCCAAUGAGAAAAUGCCAUCUGGACUGGGACUGAAGUGUGCGAAAAUUCUGGACAAAAAUGCCCCUGGGACCUUUUCUGCAAAAAAAAUAAUAAAAAAAAGACUGGACAGCAAUUAAAAAAUGGACAAAAAAUAAAAAUUAAAAAGUUUUGGACUAAAUUGUGAUUUAAAAAUAAAAUUGAACUAAAAAAAGUAAUUUUGACAAACGUAAAGUGAAACUAAAAUUAAAAUCAACAAAAGGACUAAAACGAACCAAUUACAAAAAUGAGGUAUUUUAAAAUACCUCUCUGCCGAAAUUUUGACAGGAAAAGACCAAAAUGCCCCUAGGGACUAAACUGACUCAGACUGACUCAGAUGCAAUUUUUUUGAAAUGAUUUUUAAACAAAGACUCAACAAUAAUUCGUACAGACAAGUUGAAAAGACUCAGAGGCAAACACAGGGACUAAAAUGGGUUCCACUGCAGGAAAUGACCAAAAUACCCUUUUGUAUGAUUUUUUGAAAUAAAAUGCAAGAAAAGUAAUGCGACGUUUCAGAGAGUUCUUAAAUGACUUGUAAUGCAAGAAAAGACAGAGGCAGUAAAAUUCGUUUUAAAAAGAGAGUAAAGAUUCAGAGAAAAAUAACAGCGAACCGACAAGUAUCAGUGUUUAGAAAAGAAAUUUGAACGAGUAUUUUUAGGUCCAAAAUCAGGGUAUAACAGCUGCCCCUAUUUAAGUUUCUUUGUCCGGAGGGUCAAGAGACGGAGUCUUUGGCUUGACGGGACGAAGAUACUUAAAUAUUAACAUUUGCACUGUGUUUGGACGUAAAAAUACGUUUGUACAUUUUCAAAUAUCAUGAAUGUCAUGCAUCAUUUGGAUUAUGAAUGCGAGACAAACUAAAGCUAGAAUUAACAAAAGAUGUCGUAUCCAUUGCGGGAUUGGUAGACAUUGACAAGUUAACAGAUAACAGGGUAGAUAGGAGGCUAGGAACAAAUUGACGGGCACAAGCUGCUCUUGGAUUGAGCUGGGCACUUGACCGGAAAUAAAAGCAGACAAACAGGUGCGAGUUGUUCUUGGAUUCGAACUGGUUACUCGACCGGAGACAUAGAAAAGGUAGACAGGUACGAGUUGUUCUUGGAUUCGAACUGGUUACUCGACUGAAAGCAAGGCAAAUAGACAGGUGCGAGCUUGUUCUUGGAUGCGAACUGGUUACUCCACCGGAGACAAAUACAAAAUAGACAGACGCAAGCUGCUCUUGGAUCGAGCUAGCCACUUGAGCGAACAGAAACGGAUAGACGGGUACAAGCUGUUCUUGGACUUGAACUAGCCACUUGACCGGGAAUGAAACAAACAGACAACUGCGAGUUGUUCUUAUGGAUUCGAACUGGUCACUUCACAGGGGAUAGAGGUUACUGGACAAACAUGAGUUGUUCUUAUGGAUUCGAACUGGUAACUCACUUGGGGAUAUUGGAAAGUGCGAGUUGUUCUUAUGGAUUCGAACUGGUGACUCGACUGGGAAAAAGAGAAAAUUGGCAAGUACGAGUUGUUCUUAUGGAUUCGAACUGGUAACUCGACUGAAAACAUGUAAAAUUGGCAGGUACGAGUUGUUCUUAUGGAUUCGAACUAGUGACUCGACCCAAAAUCAUAGACACAUAGACAGGUACGAGCUGUUCUUGGAUUCGAACUGGUAACUCGACCAGGGUCAUGGAAAAGUAGAUAGGUACGAGUUGUUCUUGGAUUCGAACUGGUCACUCGACCGAAAGCAAAGGCAAAUAAACAGGUGUGAGCUUGUUCUUGGAUGCGAACUGGUUACUCCACCGGACAGAAACAGAUAGACAGGUACAAGCUGCUCUUGGAUUGAGCUAGCCACUUGACCAAACGGAAACAUAUUGACAGGUACAAGCUGCUCUUGGAUUGAGCUGGGCACUCGACCGAUAACAUAAGCAAAUUGACAGGUACAAGCUGUUCUUGGACUUGAACUAGCCACUUGACCGGGGAUGAAACAAACAGACAACUGCGAGUUGUUCUUAUGGAUUCGAACUGGUCACUUCACAGGGGAUAGAGGUUACUGGACAAACAUGAGUUGUUCUUAUGGAUUCGAACUGGUAACUCACUUGGGGAUAUUGGAAAGUGCGAGUUGUUCUUAUGGAUUCGAACUGGUGACCCGACUGGGAAAAAGAGAAAAUUGGCAAGUACGAGUUGUUCUUACGGAUUCGAACUGGUGACUCGAUUGGAAAAAGAGAAAAUUGAAAAGUACGAGUUGUUCUUAUGGAUUCGAACUGGUGACUCGACUGAAAACAUGUAAAAUUGGCAGGUACGAGCUUGUUCUUGGAUGCGAACUGGUUACUCCACCGGAGACAAAUACAAAAUAGACAGGCGCAAGCUGCUUUUGGAUCGAGCUAGCCACUUGAGCGAACAGAAACAGAUAGACGGGUACAAGCUGUUCUUGGACUUGAACUAGCCACUUGACCCAAAAUCAUAGACACAUAGACAGGUACGAGCUGUUCUUUGGAUUCGAACUGGUAACUCGACCGGGGUCAUGGAAAAGUAGAUAGGUACGAGUUGUUCUUGGAUUCGAACUGGUCACUCGACCGAAAGCAAAGGCAAAUAAACAGGUGUGAGCUUGUUCUUGGAUGCGAACUGGUUACUCCACCGGACAGAAACAGAUAGACAGGUACAAGCUGCUCUUGGAUUGAGCUAGCCACUUGACCAAACGGAAACAUACUGACAGGUACAAGCUGCUCUUGGAUUGAGCUGGGCACUCGACCGAAAACAUAAGCAAAUUGAUAGGUACAAGCUGUUCUUGGACUUGAACUAGCCACUUGACCAAACAGAAACAUAUUCACUGGGGGUUAGUUUGCUUGACAAAAUAUAGAUUGAGAUUGACUUGACGUCGAUUUGAUUUGAAAGGUAGAAAUUGAGACUGAUGUUGACAUUGGAAAUGCGAUAUGCAUGGAUGAUAUAACAGUUUCAUUAAAUGCAUGGGCACGUAAUAUGCAUGAUUAUGCAUGUAUGAAUGCUUGUAAUGCAUGACUGUUGGCAUUUUGUAGGCACGACUUCACGGGGAAGACAAGACAUCAGAGUAUUGGGCACGUAGUGGCUCGUGCUAUAUUACACAUUCUUGGAAAUCCUCUUUGGAGAUGACGUCGUUGGGAGACGUUUCGGGACCUAGGCUGAGGGCCGGUAGCUAUGCAACUUGCUGAGGAUAGAAUCUUGGGAGACUCUACUGGAAAUAAUGCCGGAUGUACCGUGGAUGUCGCAUCUGUGGUCAAUGCUUUUUGCAUGUUAUUUUCUCAACUUUCAUCAUUCAUUUUUUGCAUCCCAUUUUUGCCUGGAUCGCCCUUUCGGGUUUUCGAUCCACCGGGGGAAUAAAUUCUUUUCAAUGCCCCAUUUUUGCCUGAAUUGCCCUUUCGGGUUAUCAAUCCAGCGGGGUGCUCAUUUUUGCCUAAGCCGCCCUUUCGGGUUUUCAACUUAGCGAGCUCAUUUAUUUUCAUGCAUUUUAUUCUGUUUUUUCAUUCUUGCCAUUGACCACAGACUAUCCUGGAGGAGAACCUGCUUGUAACAUAUAUUGAAAUAGACAUUAACAUACUCUCGCUCAUGCAUGUUUCAUUUGAAUGUACCCUGUUGCUCAGGUUUGCUUUUCAAAAUAAACAAAAAGUUUUCAAUUUUCAAAAAUGUUUGUUUCAAGCAUUGUCAUUAUCAAAAUAGAAGGAAAAUAUUUUGUAUAUAGCUUUGAAAGUAGAAGAAAAUAGAGUUUUCAAACAAAAGCAAAGGCUCAACUUGAUGUAUAAGAGUGGUGGUCAGCCAAAGGCAUGACUCCACGGAUUCACAAAGCUUGGAAAAUGGUAAUUUUAUCGGUUGGUGGUACAUUGAACACAGCAAUCAUUACACUUCCUGGAAACUUUGAAUUCGCAAGCGUAGGAGCUUUAGAUGAAGAUAGUCAUUAACAGCAGCAGAUGCCCCAAGGGGGACGGUGGUUGGUCAGAUAUAGUUACUUGCCUUUUGUUUCAAUCUCAUUUUUGCAUGAACCGCCCUUCCGGGUUUUCGGCUCAUUGAGACGCUCAUUCUUGCCUGAGUUGUGUACAAUCUCAGCGAGCUUUUCAUAUUUGUUUUUUUUUGUCCCUUAUUUUUGCCUGGACCGCCCUUUCGGGUUUUCGAUCCACCGGGAAGCGCAUUUUUGCCUAGUCCGCCCUUUCGGGUUUUCGACCUACCACGCUGUUCUUUUCAUAUUUCUAGGCAAAGUAUUUCUUGACUAUAUCGGCAUUCACUGGAUUUGGAAGUUCUACACCAUCCAUGUGUGUAAGGAUUAAAGCACCACCGGAGAAGGCCUUCUUGACAACAUAAGGACCUUCAUAGUUAGGCGUCCACUUGCCCCUUGGGUCGGGUUGCUGGCUUAUCCUCCUUUUCAAUACAAGUUCCCCUACCUUGAAUUCUCGAGGAUGGACUUUCUUGUCAAAGGCAGUCUUCAUUCUUGCUUGAUAUGACUGUCCACGAGCCAUGGCAUCCAUACGUUUUUCCUCAAUCAAAUUCAACUGAUCAUACCGGCUUUGGCACCAUUCAGCCUCGGAUAACUUUGCUUCCAUGAUCACACGGAGAGAUGGGAUCUCCACUUCCAAAGGAAGAACUGCUUCCAUACCAUAUACAAGAGAGAAAGGGGUUGCCCCGGUUGAACUGCGCACUGUAGUGCGGUAGCCAUGCAGAGCAUAGGGUAACCUCUCAUGCCAGUCCUUGUAAGUGGUUACCAUCUUCUGGACAAUUCUUUUGAUAUUCUUGUUGGCGGCCUCAACUGCACCAUUCAUCUGAGGUCUAUAGGGAGAAGAGUUAUGAUGCUCAAUUUUGAAUUCUUCACAAAGAGCUUGCACCACAUUGUUGUUCAGGUUGGUACCAUUGUCGGUAAUAAUCUUGCUGGGAACACCAUAUCGACAGAUGAUGUUGUUCUUGAUGAACUUAGCUACCACUUGCUUGGUCACAUUGGUAUAAGAUGCUGCUUCAACCCAUUUGGUGAAGUAGUCAAUUGCCACUAAGAUGAAACGAUGACCAUUCGAAGCCUUCGGUUCAAUCCUUCCAAUCAUGUCGAUGCCCCACAUUGAGAACGGCCAUGGGGAUGAAAUAACAUUGAGAGCGUGCGGAGGCACAUGAAUCUUAUCAGCAUAGAUUUGACAUUUGUGGCACUUUCUGGCGUGUUGGUAGCAAUCAUGCUCCAUGGCCAUCCAGUAGUAACCUGCUCGUAACAACUUCCUUGACAUAGUAUGCCCCGUAGCAUGGGUCCCGAAGGUACCGUCAUGUACAUCAUGCAUUAACUGCUCUGCUUCAUGUUCAUCAACACAUCUUAACAAUACCAUGUCAUAGUUUCUCUUGUACAGAAUAUCUCCAUCUAACAGGAAUCUACUGGCCAAUCUUCUCAGGGUCUUCUUAUCUUGUUUGGAAGCACCCGGCGGAUACUCACGGCUCAGCAAGAACUGUUUGAUGUCGUAGUACCAGGGUUUAUAGUCAACCACAUUUUCACCAGCCUGAUCGAUCACAUCCCCAAUAGCAAACACAUGUGAAGGUCUUUCAAGGCAUUGCACUUUGAUUAUUGGCACAUCAUUCCAAUGGUUUACUCGAAACAUGGAGGAUAGAGUAGCAAGAGCAUCAGCCAUUUGGUUCUCAUCACGAGGAAUAUGGUGCAGCUCAACCUUUGUAAAAUAUGUCAGCAGACGUCUCGCAUAAUCAUGAUAAGGAAUCAACUUAGCAUGGUGGGUCUCCCAUUCACCCUUUAUCUGAUUGAUGACGAGCGCAGAAUCUCCAUAGAUGUCGAGGUGUUUGAUUCUCAUGUCAAUUGCUUCCUCGAUCCCAAAGAUACAUGCUUCGUACUUAGCCAUAUUGUUGGUACAUUCGAACAAAAUUCGGGCGGUAAAAGGAAUGUGAUGCCCCUGCGGGGAUACAAUGACUGCCCCAAUUCCUUUACCAUAAGCAUUGACAGCACCAUCAAAGAUUAAACCCCACUUGCUAUUGGGAUCUGGACCUUCAUCAAUCAACGGUUCUUCGCAGUCUUUGGAUUUCAAAUACAUGAUCUCUUCAUCGGGGAAGUCGAAUUCAAUUGGUUGAUAAUCAUCAAGAGGUUGGUAAGCAAGGUGAUCGGCAAGAAUGCUACCUUUGAUUGCCUUUUGAGUUUUGAACACAAUAUCAUAUUCAGACAAAAGCAUCUGCCAGCGUGCAAUCUUCCCAGUAACAACAGCUUUCUCAAAGAUAUACUUUAUCGGAUCCAUUCUGGAUAUCAAUCAAGUUGUAUGAUUCACCAAAUAAUGACGCAGGCGUUUGGCAGCCCAAGCUAGAGCACAACAAGUCUUCUCAAGCAUUGUAUACCGAGUUUCACAGUCGGUGAACUUCUUGCUCAGAUAGUAGAUAGCAUGUUCUUUCUUUCCAGUCUCAUCUCGUUGACCGAGCACGCAUCCCACAGAUUCAUCAAACACUGACAAAUACAAAAUCAAAGGCCUUCCUUCCACGGGAGGGACAAGGAUAGGUGGUUCCAGCAAGUAAUUCUUGAUGCUAUCAAAAGCUUCCUGGCAUUCAUCGUUCCAUACAAUAGGUUGAUUCUUGCUCAAGCAGUCGAGUGAUCUCAUAUGGUAUAUCAUCAUCCUCUUCAUCUUCGGCUUCAUACACAGGGAAUUCAAAAUUUGGAGGAACCGUAGGAUUACUGUGUUCAACGGGUUUAUUAUGGUUCAAACUGCAUAGAAUGGUUGAAUGAUUUUAGAAAAUGGUUUUUUUUUCUUUCUUUUAUGCAGUUCUUUGAAAUUGAUAAGAAAAAUAAAGAUGUUUUGGUUUUUUCUGGUAUUACCAUUAUUUCCAAGAAAAAAAAGAAAAAAAAAUCACUAAAAAAUAAAAGUCGUGAAAGAAACGACAAUUUUUGUUAAUAACGGCGAUGCCGAAACAAACACGCCCUUCCAGAAAUAUCACUUUCGCUUCGGGCAGAGCGAGAGGAUGGUUAUUUUGAAAAACAAAACACUUAAGCAACAAGACACAUUAUUCGGAAACAUGCAUGAUUGAAUGAAUGUUGAUGGCCUCACAAUUUCUCGCAAUGCCUCCUGGUAUAACAAACAUAGGCCUAGGACUACAUCCAGUCGCCUCUUCAGUAAUUGCAUUGAUAAACUCAGCACUGUAGAAGAUUCAUGUGGCAUUGUACUUGUAAGGAAUAGCCUUUGUAGAAGUAUAAGGUACUGGUCCGGGCAGCCUUAUCACUAGAGGCUCAACAUUCUCUUUUGAAGGCACGCUCUUGACGGGCGGAUCAUGAAAGACUGGCACAAUCACACAGACGUCGCUGACAGUCAAAUGAUUGUUGUUCAUCAAGCUCUGGAUGUCAUUUUGAACAACACAGCAACCCAAAGGAUUACAGAAUCAUUCUUGGCAAUUGGCAUGAUCAUGGUCAAACAGAGAGGCUUGGCAUAACUUGAUGUGUAGUGGCACCAGAGGAGUUGUAACAUUACGGACGUCAAGUCCGGGAGCUUCCUCAUAUACCUCAAUCAUGUUCACAGCAGCGUGAUUUGGAAGAGGGUUGUCGAGGACAUGAGGGACGUUGUUCUCAAAAGUCAACUUUCCUUGGUUAAUGAGCUUCUUCACAAUGUAUUUCAAAGCAUAGCAUCCUUCGACAUCAUGACCCAAAGCACCUUGAUGGAAAUCACAUUUGAGGUCAGACCGGAACCUGGGAGGUAACGGAUCAGGUGGAAGCUUCCCCUGUCUGAUUGUGCAGUGCCCUCUGAGAAGUAGAGUCGGGAGCAACUCAGCAUAUAGCAUUGGUAUCAGAGGAAAGGUAGGUCUAGCUUGUUGCUGCGGUCGUUGUUGGUGAACCGGUGGAUGAUUGUUCCUGGGCGGCUAGCAGAGCAGUCAUGGUGUCAUUGGCCUUAGCCAAUUCUUCCCUCAGAGAAGUUAAUUCGGUACGGAGCUGAGCGUUCUCUUCUUCCAUAGCCUUUUUCCUUCUUAUGUACUCUCUGGUUCGAUCGAUUCUAUCAGGUUCGUAGACCUUCUGAGCACGAGCCACUUUUCAAACUGUGGCAGAGGAACCAGGAAGUAGUGAGCAAUUGGAAGCCUUUGUGACCGAUGUAUGAUGCAUAUGAUGCAUGAUAUGCAGAUGUAAAUGCAAAAACGACUCUUUUUAAUGUCAUCGAAGGACUUUUUAAACAAAUUCGAAACAUUGUAAACACUGUUAAACAAGCAAAAUAAGGUUUUACAAUGGUAAACUUAUGAAUACAAGUUCACACCUGCGGUGUCUUACAAUGUUUCGAUCUGUCUAAAAAAAAUCUUCGAUGUAUGCGUGAAAAAAAACUUAUGCAUGAAUGCAUGUAUGCAUGGUUGUUUUGUUUAGUUACAAAGAACAAGGUGGGUUGAGAUUCAAAGUAACAGGGCCACGGAUGGACACGGCGUCCGGUGAACUAAGGCUUUGGAUAGUAGUAACCAAGGUUCUAACACAGUUCCCAAACUGCAACCUCUCUCACAUAUAUCAUGGUAGUACAGGACGACACCCGUUCCAUGAUUAUUUGUGAGAAGGUCUAGUUUGAGUGUAGUAUCGCGUGACGACUAAAGUUUGAGACAACACUCAAUUUAGCCACCGCACUACGUCCUAAAAAGGCUAGGAUGGGUUUGGUAACUACGGUUCAUAGCUUCGUCGAACAAUUGAAAGUGAAGUGCCUAAGCAUGACAACACACGCCGACAAUAUCACCUUCAAAAUGCCUCAGCUAUGUGAGAUUGAUCGCAUAAUCCAAUACACGAGGCAACCCCCGGAUCGAAUUGUCGAUUAUAUCUCUACCUAAACAUAAGUUCACUCAGCCCGGGUAUAGGACUUUUGAUAUUCUCACCCCACACGUCAAAUGAAAAUAAACAAGUAUUCACAUAUGUAAGCAAUAAAACAAAGCGUAAAUAUAAACUAAGGAAAACUAGGCGCGACCCGCUAAAAAGAAUCCCCAGUGAAGUCACCAUUUCUGUUAUCAUGGUUUUGGGGUGCCAAGCCAUUAAUUGGACUUGAACCUUUUGACCGUUGAUAUCUCUCUUUUUUCUUGGGAAGGGUAAAAGGAGAAAAACCCUUAAAAAGUUCUAGAUUCGGGGGUCGUUUUCACUACGGGAAGGUGUUAGGCACCCAGAGCGAUUAUGGUAUUCCAUAAGAACCGUUCUCCUAAGUUUAUUUCUACGCUUUAGUUUUAUUGCUUAUUUGUAAAAAAGAAGGUAUGAUUAGUGAAGAAUGGGGGUGAGAAGAAGUAGAAUUUUGAUUUUUAUUUCGGCUUGGAGGGGUUAAAGUCCCUUGCCUACGUACCGUUUUACGGGAUCAAAACCGGCGUAGUUCUUGCUCAAAAAAUAGUUUUUGUUUUUGUUGGUUGAUUUUAAGUUUGAAAAGAGAUUUUGAAGAAUAGAGAUGAGAGGCCUCAAGGGCAUGAGAUUUGGAAAAAAGUGAGGUGGAGUUAGCUUUUUCAAAAUGAAGUCCAAGUAUAGUUAAAAUUUAUUAGAAAUUUUACUUAAGAAAAUAAAAGAGAAAUAAGGAGUUUUGACUCCUAUCUUAUUUUCAAAAAGGUUUUCAAGUGAGGUUAUUUGCAUGUUUUGGAAAAAGUUGGAUUUUUUUCUAAGUGUUUAAACCUAAACAUUCAUCUAAACAUGCAAUCCUAGCCAUACAUCUACACAUACAAUCCUAGGCAUACAUCUAGGGUGAGUGUGUGCGUGCCGGUGCGUCAUAGUGUCCAUAGUCCAUAUUACAAAAGUUGCCUAAAUACAUUCUAUGGCCCCUUUGCCAAGCUACAAACCAAUGAUAACAAAUUACAUCACCAAAUGAAUUAAAACUUGCAAAAAUAAAUGCUAAGCUAAAGAAAGUGGAGGAGAUAGUGAAAUGCUAUGAGUGAAGUCACAUAAGGAACAAAAUGUUAGUGAAACAAGGAAAAAUAUAAUGGGAAUGAUAAAAAAUGCACCAAAUGAAUAUGCAAUAAAAAGGGGUAAAAAUAUGAGAAUUUAUCAAUCACAAUAUGUAAAAAUGCAUCAAGAACAUAUAUGGAAUUUUAAUGAGCAAAAAUUAAAGAACAAAGUAAAGGAAAUAAAUGCAAAAAUAAGCAAAUAAAUUCUAAUACUUAGAGGAAAAAUUAAAAUGAUGGGGAAACAUUUUUAGAAAAUUUUUUAGAAGCAUAAAACACCAAGAAAGUGUAAAAAAGGUAUUUAAAACACAAUUAAAAAGCAAUUAAAAAAAACUCAGCAGGAUUUAAUCUGGACCGUUGGAUGAAUCCAGAGGUCCAGAUCAAGCUCUCAAGAUCGCAUCACAGCCACUUGAUCAAAGAUCAAAGGGUCCAGAAAAAAGCAUAAAAGAUAGUGUAAAUUGCAGGAAGCACAGUGACCGUUAGAUCAAAGAUCUAACGGUUCAAACAGAAGAUAUACCAAAUUCCACACAAAAAGUCAUGCACAGGAUUCAAAAUCAAACACACAGCAGCCAUCAGAUCUUGGAACAAUCCAGAUCUGAUGGUUCACAGAGCGAGGGAACACAACAAGAGCACGCACGCGCGCGCGUGGGAUCGGAGGGAGUAUAAAAAGGAUUUUCUACACAAAAAACUCACAAAACAUUUUCCUCUUCUCUCUCUAAGUUAAACUUAGAGAGAGAAGCUCUCCCUUCUCUCUAAAAGUCCCGCCGGCGGACAUGAGUGGUGGUGGUGGUUCCGGCGCGGCGGCCGGCCGGUUUCCGGCGGCGGCGCCACCGCGCCGGAAAAAUCAAACUUAAUUUUUUUUCAAAAUUUUUACAUCAAAAGUUCCGUCACCACCUCCUCUACUCAAAUCCGGUGCUAGUUUUAAAAAGGGGUGAGAGAUUCGUCGUAGAUCUACACUUGAACUUUCGGAAUUUUUUCACUCUUUUUGUAAAAAAGCUUACGGAUCUAGAUAUCCUUUUCGCUCUAGAGUCCGAAUCCGGCCUCAAAAUUUCAAAAAUCCGAACGUACAAGCUUAGAUCUACAAAUCUUGAUUCGUAACAAACUUUUCACAUGUGUAUAUGCGCGAAAACGAGGGAAAAAAGUGUUACCGUCGUCGUGAAACGGAGGAAAAAUCCGAGCCUCCUCUUCUCUCCGCCGCGCGCGCGCGUUAUGCUCCGGUGGUGCCGCUUUUGCUCGAAAAUCCGGUACGGAUUUGGUGUUGGUGUGAUGAUUCGCGGUGGUUUUGAAUGAUUCCGGUUCGGAUUUGUUGAUUUUGUGAUGAUUUGAGUUGGUUUUGAGUGAAUCCGGUUCGGAUUUGUUGAUUUUGUGAAGAUUUGUUCUUGGUGUUCUUGGAGAAUUUUUGGUGAUUUUCUGUUUUGGAUCUAACUGAUUUUGGAGAGAGAAAGAAAUUUCUGUUUUUGUGAUGUGACUGAUUCUUUUUUUUUUUAUUUGGAUCUGACACAUCUAUUUAUAGCCUGCCAUGUGUAUUUGUGGGCCAAUGAGAAAAUGCCAUCUGGACUGGGACUGAAGUGUGCGAAAAUUCUGGACAAAAAUGCCCCUGGGACCUUUUCUGCAAAAAAAAUAAUAAAAAAAAGACUGGACAGCAAUUAAAAAAUGGACAAAAAAUAAAAAUUAAAAAGUUUUGGACUAAAUUGUGAUUUAAAAAUAAAAUUGAACUAAAAAAAGUAAUUUUGACAAACGUAAAGUGAAACUAAAAUUAAAAUCAACAAAAGGACUAAAACGAACCAAUUACAAAAAUGAGGUAUUUUAAAAUACCUCUCUGCCGAAAUUUUGACAGGAAAAGACCAAAAUGCCCCUAGGGACUAAACUGACUCAGACUGACUCAGAUGCAAUUUUUUUGAAAUGAUUUUUAAACAAAGACUCAACAAUAAUUCGUACAGACAAGUUGAAAAGACUCAGAGGCAAACACAGGGACUAAAAUGGGUUCCACUGCAGGAAAUGACCAAAAUACCCUUUUGUAUGAUUUUUUGAAAUAAAAUGCAAGAAAAGUAAUGCGACGUUUCAGAGAGUUCUUAAAUGACUUGUAAUGCAAGAAAAGACAGAGGCAGUAAAAUUCGUUUUAAAAAGAGAGUAAAGAUUCAGAGAAAAAUAACAGCGAACCGACAAGUAUCAGUGUUUAGAAAAGAAAUUUGAACGAGUAUUUUUAGGUCCAAAAUCAGGGUAUAACAGAGGGGAAUUGUAUCAUGUCGGCCAAAGAGGUUGUUUUCUCUUGCAACACUGAGUCUCUUCCUUUCAGCCAAGCAUGCAGUGACCAUUAUAGCGAUGUGCAACACUAGGCCAAUUCCUAGUCUCUGCAACAGUGUGAUCCCUCUGGGGUUCUUUGUGUAUCUCCGGAUCAUUGGCAC
This 22031-nucleotide long non-coding RNA is filed under the name Medicago truncatula (barrel medic). RNAcentral's name for it is "long non-coding RNA (MTRU_LNC005565)". The record is from RNAcentral. Lineage: Eukaryota; Viridiplantae; Streptophyta; Magnoliopsida; Fabales; Fabaceae.